Molecule: long non-coding RNA, 244 nt
Filed under: Manihot esculenta (cassava)
Lineage: Eukaryota; Viridiplantae; Streptophyta; Magnoliopsida; Malpighiales; Euphorbiaceae
Description: long non-coding RNA (MESC_LNC011705)
Source: RNAcentral
ACUGCAGCAGUCAGAUCUUCCUAUUUAGGCAGCAAGAUUUCAAGAAGAUGCACUUGCCUCUUCUGCAUUCAGCAUUCAAAAUUCAAACGAAGGCUCCACCUAAAAAGGAAAUACUGGACAGAUUAUCUUUCCCUUCUGCACAUCCAUCCGCGCGCACACCUUCCUUCUGAAGAGCAUGCCGCGCGCCACCUUCCUUCUGAAGAGCUUGCAACGCGAUUCUUUCCUUUUCAUACACAACUUGGGC